RNAcentral lists this non-coding RNA (26 nucleotides) under Mus musculus (house mouse). Lineage: Eukaryota; Metazoa; Chordata; Mammalia; Rodentia; Muridae. The record is from RNAcentral.
CCAGAGUGCUCCCAGUCAGGUUUGGU